UUUCCGUAGGUGAGCCUGCGGAAGGAUCAUUAUUGUAUAACCGAGGUGCGAGAGCUGUCGCUGACCCGAAAGGUCGUGCACGCCCGAGUGCCCUCACACACAUCCAUCUUACCCCUAUGUGCACCACCGCGUGGGUCCCCCUUUGGCUUGUUCGGAGGGGGGCUUACGUUUUCACACAAACUUUGUAUGCAGUGUAGAAUGUAUUUUUUGUUUUUGCGAUCACGCAAUCAAUACAACUUUCAACAACGGAUCUCUUGGCUCUC
Molecule: unclassified non-coding RNA, 263 nt
Filed under: plant metagenome
Description: partial contains small subunit ribosomal RNA, internal transcribed spacer 1, and 5.8S ribosomal RNA
Source: RNAcentral